AAGGCGUUAAGGUUAAUAACCUUGGCGAUUGACGUUACCCGCAGAAGAAGCACCGGCUAACUCCGUGCCAGCAGCCGCGGUAAUACGGAGGGUGCAAGCGUUAAUCGGAAUUACUGGGCGUAAAGCGCACGCAGGCGGUCUGUCAAGUCGGAUGUGAAAUCCCCGGGCUCAACCUGGGAACUGCAUUCGAAACUGGCAGGCUAGAGUCUUGUAGAGGGGGGUAGAAUUCCAGGUGUAGCGGUGAAAUGCGUAGAGAUCUGGAGGAAUACCGGUGGCGAAGGCGGCCCCC
This 289-nucleotide ribosomal RNA is filed under the name Klebsiella pneumoniae. Its description in RNAcentral is "partial 16S ribosomal RNA". It matches the Rfam family "Bacterial small subunit ribosomal RNA", at positions 449 to 729 of the family's 1533-position model. Lineage: Bacteria; Pseudomonadati; Pseudomonadota; Gammaproteobacteria; Enterobacterales; Enterobacteriaceae. The record is from RNAcentral.